GGAUGUCCGGGAGUGUCUGGAAACAAGUGCUGUGACUCCAAACCCCCUGGUGGAAGAAGAACGCCGUCGUGUUUACAACUGUGACAAUGAGCGCUUACCAGGAUCAACCAAACGCUGGAUUUUCAAAAAAAGAAGACCAAGAAGGAUUCAUGAAGAACCAGCAUCUGUUCCAGCUCACCACCACCCCCUGCCACACGCACCAGACUAACCACACUACUAUGAGACCAGGACCGGUGGCGCCACAUAGCAGCAUUGCCGAUGUGGCACAAGCACACAGUCAGACCUGACCAGCUUCCACAGACUUCAAAAUCAGGAAAAUGCUGAAACAGAAACUAUUGGAACUGGAAUCGGCAGGAAAGGUAAGCGGUUGAUUCUGAUUGGCUUUAUAAUUUCGCCCCGGUCAUGUCUGAAAGCUUUCUCAACUUCUGCUCUGUCCAACAUGGAGUACUGUUGGUUAACUUGGCUCAGUUUAUCCGAGGGCUGUCACACCAUACAGCUCUGCGGGCCUGCAGAGAGGCCUGGCUGUCCGUCUGUGGCCCUGGCACUUCCCAUCUGCCCCCUAACUGCCCUCCUUUACUAGCCCCCUGCUAUCAGACUGUAUGCCCUCCCCACGAACCAUCCCUCUCCAGACAUAAGCCCUGCUACCAGCAGUGUGAUGUAUACAACUUAGCCAAUCAGAACGAGUCUCAAAGGUACAGAAUCAAAAAAAUAGCUCACCCAAAAAUGAAUAUUCUGUUAUCACUC
Megalobrama amblycephala (Wuchang bream) is the source of this 744-nucleotide long non-coding RNA. RefSeq lists it as uncharacterized. Lineage: Eukaryota; Metazoa; Chordata; Actinopteri; Cypriniformes; Xenocyprididae. The record is from RefSeq and is a predicted model, not a curated record. The transcript has 3 exons.